UCUCCGUAGGUGAACCUGCGGAAGGAUCAUUAACGAGUUAGGGUCUCUCUGGCCCGACCUCCCAACCCUUUGUCUACUUGACCAUCGUUGCUUCGGCGAGCCCGUCCUCACGGACCGCCGGAGGGAUCCUUACUGGCCCUCUGGUCCGCGCUCGUCGGUAGCCCAACCUUUAAAAUCUUUAACUAAACGUGCCUUAAUCUAAGUACAAUUAUUAAAUAAAAGCAAAACUUUCAACAACGGAUCUCUUGGUUCUG
This 254-nucleotide unclassified non-coding RNA is filed under the name plant metagenome. Its description in RNAcentral is "partial contains small subunit ribosomal RNA, internal transcribed spacer 1, and 5.8S ribosomal RNA". The record is from RNAcentral.